Varanus komodoensis (Komodo dragon) is the source of this 5338-nucleotide long non-coding RNA. NCBI's taxonomy places the organism in Eukaryota, Metazoa, Chordata, Lepidosauria, Squamata, Varanidae. The record is from Ensembl.
GAACUGAAUGUCUUCAAAAUGUCUAGAGGGCACCAGAUUGGUCUCGUGGAAGAAGCACAUUUUCUCUACUACCAAAUGCACUGAGAUUUGUUCAAGUGCCAUCAACUUCCAGCAGGAAAGCAAUUCAAGUGAAAUUGUACUCAGAAUUGUACCUUAACAUCCUGCAAUGUUUAAGAAGCCAGAAUUUUUUUCUUUAUGAGUGCCUGACGAUGUCAUAAGUUCUACAUGGUCCUGGUAGCAUCACCCACAUGGAUAGGAGACACAUGCAUUCCCCGAUCUUCCUGGGGCCCUGAAUCACAAUCUAUCAGAGAAAAUAUUGAGAUCAUUUUGUAUUUUUCUUUGUCUUAUACAGAAGUCGUAUGCAGAUUUAAACAGAAUGCUUGUCAGGGUGGAAGACGAAAAGGUUGAUAAGUGGCUUUCUAAUUUGAACCCCCAGUGCUGCCAGAACAUCGAACAGCAUGUAAAGCUGGUCUUCUCAUCCGCAGCUUGCAUCAAUGGAAGCUUUCAAAAAAUAAGGUAAAUGGCACACCUUCAAGUACCAAUUGAUUCUCUUAAGUGGAUUAUAAAUGGGAGAAAAUGUAGAGCAAGGUUGGAGGGAGGGAUAUAUGUAACAGAUAUCUCAAGAUGAGACUGAUCAUUGCAAAAGAACUUCAUUGACUUUUACAUUCUUACGGUUGUUUUCAUACCCAGUACCAACCCAUUAUUUAUAUUUAUUAGUAAAUUACACCCAUACCAGAGCUUAUUCCUCUCGCAAGGAACCCAAGUCUUCUGCAACCCUUCUCCUUUCCCUUUGAUUCUCACAACAACCCUGUGAGGUAGGUUAGGCCUGUGACUGCCCAAAGCAACCCAGCAAGUUUCCUGGCCAUGUGGAGACUAGAUCGCCUGAGGCCCUUCCAUACUCUAACCACUACACCACAUGGAUGUCAAUAUAAUCAAAAGUUUUCACAAUCAAGGGAAAGCAUUGUGAUUUCAAUUGGCCCUUUUCUUUCCAGUAGCAAGAAGCAUUUCAGACCACCUUGGGAAGUUGCAGAGGUGGAUAUGUCAGCUGUGUUGCUCUUCUGUGAGAAGAUUUUUGCCAAACCUAAAUUUUUCCAUGUGGUGAUGAAGGCUCUGAAGAAGCUCCUGCAGUCUCUUCCUUCCUCUUCUGUCUCCCCUGAGGCACUCAGAGUCUUCCUCAUUGUGCCCAUCUUCUUACGGAGGCAGGAUAUCCAGUCAGAUGCUCUUCUUGGUCAACUAGCACGAGCAAUUUACAAGCUCCCACUGGAACAGAAGCAAAUUCUUGGAUACCUGUGGUCUAAUCUAGAGGUCACCUUCUUCAAAGAUCUAGUGGGCAUGUAUCGACGACUUAUCGGUGUCCGGCUGUCUUCUCCCAUUGAACUUCUAAGAUGUUCAGUGAUCCAAAACCAAGAAGAUAAUUUCUAUUGCUCUCUUCAAGUCAUGCAAAUGCUUUAUAAGGUAAAUUGUAAAACUGGCUUCAGUAUCCAGGAAAGCAACUUUUAUGUCCCUGAACUGAAAAAAAUAGUGACUCCUUCCAGUUUUCAAAUAGUAAGUAAUGCAUCACUCAAAUGGGCGACAAUCCUGGGUGCUCUUGCCAACAUGAGAUUCAUUUUUCCAAUGUAGUUCUUCAUGUAGGGGUUAGUAUCUUGUAGAGGAAAAUUGCUGGAAGACUAUUGUAUACUGAGGAGAUAGGUGGUAUAACACAAUUGUCCUCUGAUUCCUACCUUAACUGGGCCUCACCUUUGGCUGUUGAGGCCAUCGGGCAAGCCGCUUGCUAAUUAGGAUGGUACAGCAUUGGAAUGCAGAAAAAGUAAAUGCAGAAAUGCAGGUACAGCAUAGGAUGGUACAGCAUUGGAAUGCAGAAAAAGUAAAUGCAGAAAUGCAGGUACAGCAUAGGAUGGUACAGCAUUGGAAUGCAGAAAAAGCAGAGCGUAUCACCGUGAGAGCCGGGAAUAGCAGAUGUGCCUAGUAAACUGCUUUGACUCUUAGAUUUAGGGUAGAGAGAGAGAAGCCGUGCAGCCCCACCGGAGCGGGUGCCAGUGUGAGAGCUAGCUGAGCAAGGAGGGUGACACAUGCCAGCCGAGAAUUGGGGGCUUUUUCUUUGUCGCUUGCGAGGGUGGGGUCCUGACAGCUGAUGGGGGGAAGCCAGCGUAUUUGGUAUUGUAUUUCUUUUUUCAUGUUAUGUCUGUUUGCCUGUUUUAGAGUAUUUUUUUAGACUUUAAACCACCUGUGUGCACAUUGCUUCUGGAUCCAAAAAGAACCUUUUGCCCUUGGCAAAACUUAUCUAAUGUCCGUCCUACAUAGAGUAGGUGCAUUGAAAGGACUAAUUUAAGCCCCUUUCAUUUAAGUGGCUCUUGUUGGAGAAAUCAAAGUUCCUUCAGGAUGUCUGUGGCGGCUGGCCCCAACUAGAGACAGGGUCACUCUAUAUGGUUAGUGUGCCCCUACAAUAGUCUUUUUAAAAUAUAAAACCACUUGCUGGUGUUGCUGGUCAGACAAUGAACAAGAGGGGCUUUUUUUGUCCUCAACCAAGUUUUGCAAACUUUGUUUCUUGGAUUGAAAUUGACUGGGUCUGGAUUUCCUUUCCAGAUGAAUUUUGAAAGUUACAGCUCUUGCAAAGAGAAGGAAUAUAAUUUAAACUUGGAUGUAAAUUUUAUUCAUUUGUGUUCAAAUUUAUAAGCUACUGAAUAGUCUGACAGGGCUCUCUAAGGGGCUAGCAACACUUACAAAAAACAGGUUAAUAUUACAAUUACUACAAGUACAGGGGGAGGAGAGGUGGGGGAAGAGAGAGAGAAAACUGCUGGUAGUAGGGUAAACUCUUAUAACCAGGUGGUAAAAUCAGGUCUUGAAAUAUCUGCAAGAUUUUGGUCCUGUGGAUGCAGCAUUAGUUUACAGGCAAACAGGAUUCCUAACCCAUGUUUGUCUUGUAAUGGUGAUGGAAGGGUGGUCAUUUGCACGAGAGAACUGGCUGCUGGGUAGGGUGAUUACCAUUUUCUCCUCCCAACAGUUUCCCUAUGUAUGUAUCCCAUUUUUCCCCCAACCAGGCUUUGAGACAUGAACUAUGCCAGCUAAGAGAAAAACAAGAGUAGGGAAGCAUUUGAAAGGCGGAACAGAGGGAUGGAAAGAAUUAAGGUGCUCUUCUGUGCAAGUUUAUAGAGGAAAAAGGCCCACAAUUCCCUGCAUGUCUCAGCAGACCUUGGCAUGCUGGGAGCUGCAGGCCCCUUUUCUGCCUAAAUAUGCACAGGAUUGCAUCCUUAAGCACUCUUACUUCCCAGCUCCCAGUUCUCUCCAUCCCAUCCCCUUAGCAAUUUGGAAACCUGCAAUUGUCAAUAUAAAAUAUAGCAUUUCUCUCAAACUUAUCCUAUUGCAUGCCAAACUGUUGGUGAAUUGAUCCAAAUAGCAUUGUAAUAUCUCAUACCCUUCACCUUAAAAUAAAAAGUAAAUGUAUACAUCGUUAUAUGUAUUGUGCUUGUGGUGGUGUCAUCUCAGGCAUCUGCUGGCUGUGGUGGUGUGAUGGUAUGGAAAGCUCAAGAACAUUCCAGCAUCUCAGGAGCAAAGUCUUUAGAAUGUUGAUUGUCCAUCCAGCAGGACGAUUUUUAAGACAGUUGGUCAUAAAAUAUGUUGAAACUUAUUUUCCUUUUCAAUUUUGUUUUAUCCAACUGGUGAACAGGGAAGAAUAUGGACACUGCUGCUUGAAUUAAAUGUAAGAAUUACAUGUAUCCUUACAUUGAAAUGCGAGCGUUAUCAUGCUCGCGUUUCUUUAGUUUCAAGUUAAAUUGGUUAUUGUUGUUGGUGUUAGUCGCAAAGUCGUGUCCGACCCAUCGCAACCCCAUGGACAACAUUCCUCCAGGCCUUCCUGUCCUCCACCAUCCCCUGGGGUCCACUUAAGCUCACACCAACCGCUUCAGUGACUCCAUCUAGCCACCUCAUCCUCUGCCGUCCCCUUCUUCUUUUGCCAUCUAUUGUUCCCAGCAUUAGGCUCUUCUCCAGGGAGUCCUUCCUUCUCAUUAGGUGGCCAAAGUAUUUGAGUUUCAUCUUCAGGAUCUGGCCUUCUAAAGAGCAGUCAGGGUUGAUCUCCUCUAGGACUGAUUGGUUUGAUUGCCUUGCGAUCCAAGGGACUUGCAGGAGUCUCCUCCAGCAUCAAAAUGGUUUACUGAAGCUCUCCAAACCCCAUCAUAGAUCAAUAUGCAUGUAAAUGUUCCAUAGGGAAGGGAGUAGUUUGCUGAUAUCUCCAAAAUUCUUCAGCAAGGAGCUGCGAGCCAUUUCUCCUUUGUGAGUACACUCCCUUAGGGCAACAUCCUAUAGGUCUUGCAACUGCAGGAGGUUUGGAGCAGCCAGUCAAGCAUGGUGGCAAGCAUUGCUUGCAUGUUCCCCUUGCUUCCAAAAACAUUUAGAUACUCAGAAACUUCUGAUCUCAGAGGUGUCCAUCUCGAGUUUCUCUAUAGCAAAACUGCUCUCUUCCUUAAUUUAAAUGACAUGCCAGCAUUCUCAACUAUCAGCAUCUGAGGUGUUUUAACUAAAUACCAAAAAAGUGUUAAAAGGCAGCUGAUAAGGACAGCAUUCUGAAUGUGUGGCUAUGUUAAUUAGAACUAGAGGUAAUAUUUAAAAAGCAAAAUGCACACACUUGGGUCUGCUGAGAGCCACUGCAGUGCAGUGGUUAAGCGCUCAGGACUGCACCCAGCUGGCCAACUCUCAGCCCAACUUCCCUCUCAGGACUGUUCUUAUGAGGAUAAGAUUGAGAGCAGGAGGAGAAUUACAUAAGCCGCACUGAAUUCUUUAAAAAGAAAAUAGUGGGCUAUAAAUUUAAUAAAGACAUGAUAAUGUUAUCAAAUGUUUAUAACAUUCUGAUAGAACCUGGGAGCUUAAAGUGAAAAUAAAAUGUGGCAAGGGAAAAUUCCAACAAAAAAAUCUAAUAAAUAUUGGUAUCUUUGUGAAGCAGGCUCUUAUAGUUCAAUCUACACUCUUCACAAAUGUGUUCUUCUCUGACUGUAUAUGCUAACUAUAUUAAAUUAUAUCUAUAUAUAAAUUAAAUCAGGUGCUUAAUAGUUAUGGGAGGUAAGAAGUGGGGUGAUUAGUAUCUAGACCAGCAGGACAUGCAUCAGAAAGCUGCAGUGUGGAAUGCUUGCAGUUUAGGGACACUGCAAUAUUUCCAAGAUACUCCAGUCCAUCAGCAUUCUUUGCCCGUUCAGCAUGCUCCAUUCCCCUGCCCUCCCUCCACUUCAAGAUUCUUUUCUACUGAAGUUUUUUUAAAACUUCUACAAGCAUCAGGGUUUCUCUCAAGCCUCCUAACAUGUCCCUCCCAUGUGUGGGUGGUGCCAUUUGGCUACAUAAGGACAUAUUUCAU